Molecule: ribosomal RNA, 497 nt
Filed under: uncultured bacterium
Lineage: Bacteria
Description: partial 16S ribosomal RNA
Rfam family: Bacterial small subunit ribosomal RNA
Source: RNAcentral
GAUGAACGCUGGCGGCGUGCCUAAUACAUGCAAGUCGAGCGAACAGACGAGGAGCUUGCUCCUCUGACGUUAGCGGCGGACGGGUGAGUAACACGUGGAUAACCUACCUAUAAGACUGGGAUAACUUCGGGAAACCGGAGCUAAUACCGGAUAAUAUAUUGAACCGCAUGGCUCAAUAGUGAAAGACGGUUUUGCUGUAACUUAUAGAUGGAUCCGCGCCGCAUUAGCUUGUUGGUAAGGAAACGGCUUACCAAGUCAACGAUGCGUAGCCGCCCUGAGAGGGAGGUCGGCCACACUGGAACGGGGACACGGUCCAUACUCCUACGGGAGGCAGCGGUAGGGAAUCGUCCGCGAUGAGCGGAAGCCUGACGGAGCAACGCCGCGGGAGUGAUGAAGGUCUUCGGAUCGUAAAACUCUGUUAUUAGGGAGGAACAAAUGUGUAAGUAACUAUGCACGUCUUGACGGUACCUAAUCAGAAAGCCACGGCUAACUACGUG